GACAGAGGUCCCAAGCGUUAGGCGGAAUCACUGGGCUUAAAGCGUGUGUAGGCGGAUUUGUAAGUACCUUGUGAAAUCCCACGGCUCAACCGUGGAACUGCUUGGUAUACUGCUUAUCUUGGGCCAUCUAGGGGCGAGCGGAACAAACGGUGGAGCGGUGAAAUGCGUAGAUAUCGUUUGGAACGCCAAUGGUGAAAACAGCUCGCUGGGGAUGUGCCGACGCUGAGAUACGAAAGCCAGGGGAGCGAACGGG
This 253-nucleotide ribosomal RNA is filed under the name uncultured bacterium. RNAcentral's name for it is "partial 16S ribosomal RNA". It matches the Rfam family "Bacterial small subunit ribosomal RNA", at positions 524 to 776 of the family's 1533-position model. The record is from RNAcentral.